This is a small nucleolar RNA of Apodemus sylvaticus (European woodmouse), 73 nucleotides long. RefSeq annotates it as small nucleolar RNA SNORD73. The record is from RefSeq and is a predicted model, not a curated record. The transcript has a single exon. Lineage: Eukaryota; Metazoa; Chordata; Mammalia; Rodentia; Muridae.
AAUGAGUGAUGACAAGAUGUUUCGGCUCCAGAUGACACCAACUGAUUUUACCGUUACAUUUCUUGCUGACAUU